Molecule: transfer RNA, 75 nt
Filed under: Ignavibacteriota bacterium
Lineage: Bacteria; Pseudomonadati; Ignavibacteriota
Also listed under: 4 other names
Description: tRNA-Val
Rfam family: tRNA
About the family: Transfer RNA (tRNA) molecules are approximately 80 nucleotides in length. Their secondary structure includes four short double-helical elements and three loops (D, anti-codon, and T loops).
Source: RNAcentral
GGGCGCUUAGCUCAGUUGGUUUAGAGCAUCUGCCUUACAAGCAGAGGGUCGGAGGUUCGACUCCUUCAGCGCCCA